Molecule: transfer RNA, 83 nt
Filed under: Schistocephalus solidus
Lineage: Eukaryota; Metazoa; Platyhelminthes; Cestoda; Diphyllobothriidea; Diphyllobothriidae
Rfam family: tRNA
About the family: Transfer RNA (tRNA) molecules are approximately 80 nucleotides in length. Their secondary structure includes four short double-helical elements and three loops (D, anti-codon, and T loops).
Source: Rfam by way of RNAcentral
GGCCUCGUAGCUCAGUUGACUAGACCGUUGGCUGUACUAAAACUUAUCCCUCGAUGGCGUGGGUUCGAAUCUCACCGAAGCCG